Molecule: long non-coding RNA, 1704 nt
Filed under: Homo sapiens (human)
Lineage: Eukaryota; Metazoa; Chordata; Mammalia; Primates; Hominidae
Description: HSALNT0319387
Source: RNAcentral
AGUGUUCACUUUAUCUUACUCUCUCUCUCUCCUCUCUCUCACUCUCUGUCUCUGAAAUUUCUUCAGAUUUUUUAUUUGUUUCUGGUGCUCUUACUUUUCACAAUGUUGGAACUUAUUGAUGGUUCUGUCUGUGUCUAUUGGGCUGGACAUGCUUUAGGAUCUUUUAUAACCUGUACUCAGUUUGAGUAGUUUCUUGGGUUGAUUCCGUUUUGAUUUUCUCAUUUCUUUGGAAAUUUAUAAUUUUAAAAUUUUGGACCACUGAGAACAUUUUUAAAUUGUCUUAAUCUAACUUUCCACUUCUAUUCUUUUGCCUAUUCUUCUUAGAUAAUUUUUACACUUUAUUUUCAAGCCCUUCUAUUAAUAUUUUUAUUUCUGCUGUGUUAUUUCUAAGACUUACAGAUUUUAUAAUGCUAUUUUUUAGCAUCUCUCCUAUUUUGUGGAUAUGUCAUCUUUUCUCUCUGAAUAUGAUAAUGAGGCUUUCAUUUGUUUUCUAAGUUUUUAUAUCCCUAGGUAUUUACUGUUUUGAUAAUUUUUUCUUCCCUGUUUGUUUGCUUUGCUUUUUUCUUCCAAGAUAAAGCCUGGAAGCUGCACGUCACCUGCCAGCUUUGUGUGUGCCCAGUGAGGUAAGAAAAUUGGCAGCAUUAAGAUUUAGUAGAUACAUUUUCAUGCAUACCAGGUUUUUAGUGCUAUACUUCUGCUCUCAGAUGUGCCUGUCAUCUCCCUCUGAUAUCCAGACCCUGUUUUACCCUUUAGUAAACUGCUGGGGUUUGGAAAAGGGCAGCUGCCCAGCAUAGAGAAGAGUUCUGUGAGGUUUUUGCCUUAUGUGGACCUCCAUUUUAGUUAUAUAUUGCUGCAUAACAACUCUAUUCUUUCCCCCAAAUUUAGCAAUAAAAAGCAAAAACUACUUUAUUAUGUUCACAAAUUUUGUGUGUGAAGAAUCGAGAAUGGGUGAAACAUGAAAGUCUUUCUUCUUUCUGUAAUGUUUGUGGCUUCAGUGCAGGUGGCAUAAUGACCAGCGGUGACUUGAAUGACAAGGGGACAGAACAGCUGGACAAUCCAAUUCCUAGAUGCUUUCUCCAGUUAUGGCCCUGACUGGGAUCUCCGAAGAAUGACUCAGCUGAAACUAUUUCAUCAUUGCCUACAUUUGUCUUCAGACGACCUGCAGUACAAACUUGGCUUAAACCUGCAGUUGACAAUGGAUUCACCGUGGGAGAAUAAAUUACAAUGGAUAAAAAACAGCAUUACAAUCCCUCAAUAAAAUGGGAUUUUAACAGACAAAGCUCCUGGUAUGUGGUCGUUCUCAGGCCCAAAGGCCCAUUUUGCUUUUGGCUGCAACUCUGUAACUCUGUAACAGAGACCAAGUGCCUGCAGGGAGCAGAUGUUUGGGGCAGUAUCUGCUAAGGUGGCUUUGCUGAAACUUGUUUCUCUCAUUGGGUCUUGGAAGUGGCGAAUAGGACGUUCCUAUAGAAAAACUCAGAAAGAGACUGUGAAAGAUAAUCUUAAAGAGGCACUCACGAAACACAAGCUCCUUCUCCGGGAAAAAGAAUCAUCACCCUUGUUAUCCCAUGAAAAUUCAUCUUCUCCUUUUCAGCUGAUAUGAGGACUUGAUCUGUCCUUUCCUAUAAGUGCCAUCUGUGUUUAAAUGAGGCUGUUACUCUAACUCAAAGCAGACUUGCAAGAGUAAAAUAAUCAAUCUUCAUCAUA